RNAcentral lists this ribosomal RNA (275 nucleotides) under uncultured bacterium. Its description in RNAcentral is "partial 16S ribosomal RNA". It matches the Rfam family "Bacterial small subunit ribosomal RNA", at positions 523 to 796 of the family's 1533-position model. The record is from RNAcentral.
AUACGGAGGGCGCAAGCGUUGUUCGGAAUUACUGGGCGUAAAGCGCGGGCAGGUGGUCUGUUAAGUCGUUUGUGAAAAUCCGGGGCUCAACCCCGCGAAAUGCAGACGAUACUGGCAGGCUGGAGAUCGGUAGAGGCUAGCGGAAUUCCUGGUGUAGCGGUGGAAUGCGUAGAUAUCAGGAAGAACACCUGUGGCGAAGGCGGCUAGCUGGGCCGAGUCUGACACUCAUCCGCGAAAGCGUGGGGAGCAAACAGGAUUAGAAACCCCAGUAGUCC